This 243-nucleotide unclassified non-coding RNA is filed under the name Hevea brasiliensis (rubber tree). Lineage: Eukaryota; Viridiplantae; Streptophyta; Magnoliopsida; Malpighiales; Euphorbiaceae. The record is from RNAcentral.
UGCUUUUCCUCAUUUUCAUGCCACACAAAACCAGAGAACCGGGAUAUAUUACUCUUGAUCUGAAUUGCCUUCCCUCUCCUCCCAAAAAGAAUUGUAUGAAGCAGCUUAAAGGUAUCAUCAGUCUUCCUUCUGGAUAACUUGAAUGCAACAUUAGGUAUAUCUUUCAGUGGGGUACCACGGCCCUUUUCUAUAUGGAAUUCCUUGGUUGCAUCUCUCUCAAUAGAUGCCACCAGCCUUUCAACA